GCCCAUGGAACAGUUGUCUAAAUCAAAGACCUGAGAAACCCUCCUAUGUGGCAAAUUCCGCCAUACAAACAGUUUGGCUAAGGUGUGUGUCCGCCAGACGCUUUGCUACCCAAAACCCUUUGAAGGGCGGGCGUCGGAUGAAGGCAAGUCUAAAGAUGGACAUGAACGAUCAUUAGUAUUUAAAUACCUGGAUCUGAAGAAGUAUUUAUUAUCUAUGAAGAUUUCUCAAGAGCAGUUUGAAAAAAAAUGAAACAAUUGGGUAUAUUAUACUUGUUAGUGAUUGGGAUGUUUCUGCAAAUCAGUUUGUCGACCAAUGCCCCGGAAACACACCCGGUAAGUGACCGCUUCAUUCGGUCGCUGUGUAAGAGGCUCUCUGAUGAUAUGGCCAACUCGAAACCGAAAUAUAAAAGACAGCCCUGUCCUUGGAAUCCUUGCUGUUCAUGAAUGUUUCCAUGAUCUAUAUGACGUGAUCAGCAAACUGGAAUAAAACAUCUUAUAAAUAAAGAACACUUAU
Magallana angulata is the source of this 514-nucleotide long non-coding RNA. RefSeq lists it as uncharacterized. Lineage: Eukaryota; Metazoa; Mollusca; Bivalvia; Ostreida; Ostreidae. The transcript is spliced from 4 exons. The record is from RefSeq and is a predicted model, not a curated record.